This 2569-nucleotide ribosomal RNA is filed under the name Escherichia coli. RNAcentral's name for it is "partial 23S ribosomal RNA". It matches the Rfam family "Bacterial large subunit ribosomal RNA", at positions 296 to 2853 of the family's 2925-position model. Lineage: Bacteria; Pseudomonadati; Pseudomonadota; Gammaproteobacteria; Enterobacterales; Enterobacteriaceae. The record is from RNAcentral.
AGCCCAGAGCCUGAAUCAGUGUGUGUGUUAGUGGAAGCGUCUGGAAAGGCGCGCGAUACAGGGUGACAGCCCCGUACACAAAAAUGCACAUGCUGUGAGCUCGAUGAGUAGGGCGGGACACGUGGUAUCCUGUCUGAAUAUGGGGGGACCAUCCUCCAAGGCUAAAUACUCCUGACUGACCGAUAGUGAACCAGUACCGUGAGGGAAAGGCGAAAAGAACCCCGGCGAGGGGAGUGAAAAAGAACCUGAAACCGUGUACGUACAAGCAGUGGGAGCACAGAGCAAUCUGUGUGACUGCGUACCUUUUGUAUAAUGGGUCAGCGACUUAUAUUCUGUAGCAAGGUUAACCGAAUAGGGGAGCCGAAGGGAAACCGAGUCUUAACCGGGCGUUAAGUUGCAGGGUAUAGACCCGAAACCCGGUGAUCUAGCCAUGGGCAGGUUGAAGGUUGGGUAACACUAACUGGAGGACCGAACCGACUAAUGUUGAAAAAUUAGCGGAUGACUUGUGGCUGGGGGUGAAAGGCCAAUCAAACCGGGAGAUAGCUGGUUCUCCCCGAAAGCUAUUUAGGUAGCGCCUCGUGAAUUCAUCUCCGGGGGUAGAGCACUGUUUCGGCAAGGGGGUCAUCCCGACUUACCAACCCGAUGCAAACUGCGAAUACCGGAGAAUGUUAUCACGGGAGACACACGGCGGGUGCUAACGUCCGUCGUGAAGAGGGAAACAACCCAGACCGCCAGCUAAGGUCCCAAAGUCAUGGUUAAGUGGGAAACGAUGUGGGAAGGCCCAGACAGCCAGGAUGUUGGCUUAGAAGCAGCCAUCAUUUAAAGAAAGCGUAAUAGCUCACUGGUCGAGUCGGCCUGCGCGGAAGAUGUAACGGGGCUAAACCAUGCACCGAAGCUGCGGCAGCGACACUGUGUGUUGUUGGGUAGGGGAGCGUUCUGUAAGCCUGUGAAGGUGUGCUGUGAGGCAUGCUGGAGGUAUCAGAAGUGCGAAUGCUGACAUAAGUAACGAUAAAGCGGGUGAAAAGCCCGCUCGCCGGAAGACCAAGGGUUCCUGUCCAACGUUAAUCGGGGCAGGGUGAGUCGACCCCUAAGGCGAGGCCGAAAGGCGUAGUCGAUGGGAAACAGGUUAAUAUUCCUGUACUUGGUGUUACUGCGAAGGGGGGACGGAGAAGGCUAUGUUGGCCGGGCGACGGUUGUCCCGGUUUAAGCGUGUAGGCUGGUUUUCCAGGCAAAUCCGGAAAAUCAAGGCUGAGGCGUGAUGACGAGGCACUACGGUGCUGAAGCAACAAAUGCCCUGCUUCCAGGAAAAGCCUCUAAGCAUCAGGUAACAUCAAAUCGUACCCCAAACCGACACAGGUGGUCAGGUAGAGAAUACCAAGGCGCUUGAGAGAACUCGGGUGAAGGAACUAGGCAAAAUGGUGCCGUAACUUCGGGAGAAGGCACGCUGAUAUGUAGGUGAAGUCCCUCGCGGAUGGAGCUGAAAUCAGUCGAAGAUACCAGCUGGCUGCAACUGUUUAUUAAAAACACAGCACUGUGCAAACACGAAAGUGGACGUAUACGGUGUGACGCCUGCCCGGUGCCGGAAGGUUAAUUGAUGGGGUCAGCGCAAGCGAAGCUCUUGAUCGAAGCCCCGGUAAACGGCGGCCGUAACUAUAACGGUCCUAAGGUAGCGAAAUUCCUUGUCGGGUAAGUUCCGACCUGCACGAAUGGCGUAAUGAUGGCCAGGCUGUCUCCACCCGAGACUCAGUGAAAUUGAACUCGCUGUGAAGAUGCAGUGUACCCGCGGCAAGACGGAAAGACCCCGUGAACCUUUACUAUAGCUUGACACUGAACAUUGAGCCUUGAUGUGUAGGAUAGGUGGGAGGCUUUGAAGUGUGGACGCCAGUCUGCAUGGAGCCGACCUUGAAAUACCACCCUUUAAUGUUUGAUGUUCUAACGUGGACCCGUGAUCCGGGUUGCGGACAGUGUCUGGUGGGUAGUUUGACUGGGGCGGUCUCCUCCUAAAGAGUAACGGAGGAGCACGAAGGUUGGCUAAUCCUGGUCGGACAUCAGGAGGUUAGUGCAAUGGCAUAAGCCAGCUUGACUGCGAGCGUGACGGCGCGAGCAGGUGCGAAAGCAGGUCAUAGUGAUCCGGUGGUUCUGAAUGGAAGGGCCAUCGCUCAACGGAUAAAAGGUACUCCGGGGAUAACAGGCUGAUACCGCCCAAGAGUUCAUAUCGACGGCGGUGUUUGGCACCUCGAUGUCGGCUCAUCACAUCCUGGGGCUGAAGUAGGUCCCAAGGGUAUGGCUGUUCGCCAUUUAAAGUGGUACGCGAGCUGGGUUUAGAACGUCGUGAGACAGUUCGGUCCCUAUCUGCCGUGGGCGCUGGAGAACUGAGGGGGGCUGCUCCUAGUACGAGAGGACCGGAGUGGACGCAUCACUGGUGUUCGGGUUGUCAUGCCAAUGGCACUGCCCGGUAGCUAAAUGCGGAAGAGAUAAGUGCUGAAAGCAUCUAAGCACGAAACUUGCCCCGAGAUGAGUUCUCCCUGACCCUUUAAGGGUCCUGAAGGAACGUUGAAGACGACGACGU